Long non-coding RNA from Triticum aestivum (bread wheat), 763 nucleotides. RefSeq lists it as uncharacterized. NCBI's taxonomy places the organism in Eukaryota, Viridiplantae, Streptophyta, Magnoliopsida, Poales, Poaceae. The record is from RefSeq and is a predicted model, not a curated record. The transcript has 2 exons.
CCUACACGAGGGACGAGUGCCUCAGAUCACGAUCCCGAACUUGGCCUCCAGGCUCCAGCGGUCGCCGGCGCCGCCCGCACGCGGACGGCCGUACCGCGCCGGCCCCUCGCGGUCUCACCUCCUCCACCUCCAGUCCCCCCUGUCUGCCUACCCUCGCCGGCAGGUUGCCCGUCGCAGCUCGGUCCCGCGGCCGCGCCACCAGAGACAGCACGCGAGCGCCGGAGCAGCCUGGAAGGACCUGGAACUCCGAAACUUUUCUGCUAUACCAUUGCCACUGAAAGCCAUGCCCAUGUUGCGUCGAGUGCGGCCUCACACGUCUGGCGGUGAGGACCGCCUUAGUGCGCUCCAUGACGAUCUGAUCCUCCUCAUAGUAAGCAGGCUGGACACCCGAACAGCCCUCUCCAUGGCCAUCCUUGCCAGGCGUUGGGUUCGCAUCCCGCACAAGCUGUCCGCACUCGACUUCAGGGUGAGCGACAUACUCCCGCCGAGUACGAACGGACCGUUGCCCUUCGCCAACUCAACUUGCCGCGUGACGCCACUUUGGCCGGGACACUCGACGGUCUCAAGGCGCGAUGUGAGAUCGACACAAUAAGGUCAUUCGCAAACGGAAUCACGAGCUUUUUGGAAGCAGACAGUGGCCAUGACCGGCAUGUAAAGACCCUCCGUCUCGAGUUUUUUCAGACAUACAAUAGCAUUUGUGUGGACCGCCUUAUCAAUGUUGCAGUCGGUGCAUGGGGGGUGGAAGAUCUGGAGGUUGUCGUCA